GAUUAUUCAAUGAACAACGCCUUAAUAAGAAAAUAGAAAACAAAAUGUUCUUAUAAGAAAAGUGAAAUCAAGUAAACAAUUUGUUAAUCUCAUAUUAAUACAUCAGUUAUAAUAAAUAAAAUCAUCACUCCCACCGAGCACAUCAAACCCCAUCUAUCAUCCAUAAAUCAUUUAUAAUAUAUAAAAAAUAGCCAGAAAUCACAAUACAAAAAUACCAAAAAUGCUUAAAUCUUGAAUCUCGUCUCAAUAUGUUGUUUUUCCUAUAUUCUCAAUGUGAUGUUUUGCCAAUAUUCCCAAGUGUUUGCUAAUCUCCAAUAUGCUCCUACCUUUAAUAUACCAAUUAAUUAUAAGUAGAAUUGAGCUAACUACAAAAACGCAAAUCAUCAACAACUAAAAAGGAGUUUCAUCAUUGUGUCUUCUUGCGUCAACCCAUCCAAAGAGCUUUAUUAAUCAGAAAAUAUUCGUUAUAAAGAGGAUUAUAGAAUACAUAUUUUAAUUAGCACAAAAUCUAAUAAGAGCACAAAGCAUUCAACUGGAGAUAUGGAAAUUCGCACUACACAAAACACAAACCCUAGCCCUAAAUAACCAUCUCAAGCCAAAUUGAUUUGUGCAAAAACACAAAACUAAUAAACGAAAGCCAUCCGACUGCAAUAUUUAAUUUUAAUAAAAGAUUAGAUGAUUUCAGAGAAGAAAGAAAACUGAUUUCACAUAUGGAGAAUAUGAGCUUACCCGCUGGAGAAAGAAGGUGUUGGGUGGCGGUGCUCAUGUUUGGUGGCCGGAGAUAAUCGCUGGUGUGGUAACGCUCAAAGACAGAGUGGCGGAGGAAGUCGCUGGAAUGGAGGGAGAUGGAGGAGAGAAGUGUACACGACGUCUGGCUGAGGAAGGGGUUCCAUCGAAGUUGGGCAUCGUUGGAAAGCGGUGAACGGCGACGCGAGUUUGGACGACGGCAACAAAGAAAACAAAGGAUCCAGGUGGGAGGAGAUGUUGAAUGAUCGAGGUGAGAUUCUGAAGGGAGAAAACGUUGGCAAUAGGGAGAAGGGUAGUAAAGGAGAUAAAAGAAAUCUUUGGUCUCGGUCAAAC
Molecule: long non-coding RNA, 1080 nt
Filed under: Lactuca sativa (garden lettuce)
Lineage: Eukaryota; Viridiplantae; Streptophyta; Magnoliopsida; Asterales; Asteraceae
Description: long non-coding RNA (LSAT_LNC007812)
Source: RNAcentral